ACCUGAUGGUGUGAGCAUUGACGUAACAAGUCCUUAAAGCGCUCCCAAGUCUCGAAAAAUGGUUCUCCAUCCAUCUGUGAGAAACUAGUGAUGACUUUCCUAAGCU
Small nucleolar RNA from Malania oleifera, 106 nucleotides. Lineage: Eukaryota; Viridiplantae; Streptophyta; Magnoliopsida; Santalales; Ximeniaceae. The record is from RefSeq and is a predicted model, not a curated record.